GUGGGAGAUGUGGGGCUGAGUUGCCGGCAUCAGCCAAGGGUACACAAAGGUACCAGCUGAAAGGAGAAUUACUGGCCCCCUUCUGGAUUUUCAAAGCUCUGAAGAUGUGAAUCUAGCACUCAUCGCUUAUACGUUGUGGACUUUGGUUUGCUGGGGGCAGGAAUCUCCCUUUCUGGAUGAAUUCAUGAUAAGCCAGCAAGAUCUAUCAGACAGGAAUGAAUCAUGGUUUGCUGGAAGCAAGAUCCAGGAGAAAGAUUGGUGGGAAACUUAAAAUGUGCAAUAACAACUCUGGGGAAAGACAGGAAAUCGGAAGAAUUGGAAAGUCGUCUAGUGAAUCCUCAGCCACCUCCUCUCUUCAGAUAUUGUGGGCUUGGAAUCAAGUGUGGACUGGAAAUUCAACAACUGGCUGGGUCUGUGUCUCGUGAACUCUGCCUGGCAUGAACACUUCUGUUUCAGCACAUCUGUGAUUGCCAUAUCACCAGCAUUUGCAGAAUGGAGGAUUAAUUUUAUUGUGCACUGGAUCAGCAGAUCUGGUGACAUAAUAUUGCACUACGAAGAAGGAUUACUCACCAGUUUCUGGAUGCUACAUUUUUAGAAACGAACUCCACUUAACGAUAAGUGUUGGAUCUAACAACUUCCCCCUUUUCCUCACUCCCACUCUCCAAUCACCCAACCAACAAAUAUCACUUAAUGCAAAAACCGGCUCUCUUGGGACCAGAUGGAUAUAAUUUUUCUUCAAGAUAAAA
Molecule: long non-coding RNA, 746 nt
Filed under: Vulpes vulpes (red fox)
Lineage: Eukaryota; Metazoa; Chordata; Mammalia; Carnivora; Canidae
Description: lncRNA (ENSVVUG00000006746.1)
Source: RNAcentral